GACGAACGCUGGCGGCGUGCUUAACACAUGCAAGUCGAACGGAAAGGCCCUGCUUUUGUGGGGUGCUCGAGUGGCGAACGGGUGAGUAACACGUGAGUAACCUGCCCUUGACUUUGGGAUAACUUCAGGAAACUGGGGCUAAUACCGGAUAGGAGCUCCUGCUGCAUGGUGGGGGUUGGAAAGUUUCUGCGGUUGGGGAUGGACUCGCGGCUUAUCAGCUUGUUGGUGGGGUAGUGGCUUACCAAGGCUUUGACGGGUAGCCGGCCUGAGAGGGUGACCGGCCACAUUGGGACUGUGAUACGGCCCAGACUCCUACGGGAGGCAGCAGUGGGGAAUAUUGCACAAUGGGCGGAAGCCUGAUGCAGCAACGCCGCGUGCGGGAUGACGGCCUUCGGGUUGUAAACCGCUUUCGCCUGUGACGAAGCGUGAGUGACGGUAAUGGGUAAAGAAGCACCGGCUAACUACGUG
This 468-nucleotide ribosomal RNA is filed under the name uncultured bacterium. Its description in RNAcentral is "partial 16S ribosomal RNA". It matches the Rfam family "Bacterial small subunit ribosomal RNA", at positions 28 to 507 of the family's 1533-position model. The record is from RNAcentral.